AGUUCGGAUUGUAGUCUGCAACCCGACUACAUGAAGCCGGAAUCGCUAGUAAUCGCGGAUCAGAAUGCCGCGGUGAAUACGUUCCCGGGUCUUGUACACACCGCCCGUCACACCAUGGGAGUCGGAAAUGCCCGAAGUCAGUGACCCAACCGAAAGGAGGGAGCUGCCGAAGGCAGGUCCGGUAACUGGGGUGAAGUCGUAACAAGGUACC
This 211-nucleotide ribosomal RNA is filed under the name uncultured bacterium. Its description in RNAcentral is "partial 16S ribosomal RNA". It matches the Rfam family "Bacterial small subunit ribosomal RNA", at positions 1290 to 1500 of the family's 1533-position model. The record is from RNAcentral.